CAACUUUUGUUGAUAAUUUACGCACUCACCUGAUGAUUGUUCCUCCAACAACAAACAACUUUACCACCACUGAAGCAGUCUGUAGUAACAGCAUCUCGUGCAGGCUACUUAACGAUCGUGAACCCAACACUACGCAACAUCAGCAGCACUACCCGGCUGGCAAUUGACGUUUCAUACUAUGGCGAGGGGUGUUGAAACGCAUGGAAGAGCAGGAAGAAACACGGACGAGCGCUGAUGAACUGCAACUGUGUGCGUGCAACAGUACCAAACGGCAUGUGACGACGGACAGUGUGUGGAUGUGUGUGUAAUUUUAGGCAGCGAAGAUGGAUCGAGGUUAUGUUUACAAAGUGAAAGAGUUUGAUGUAGAAGCGUCUUUGUGAUAAACGUGUAUUUUAUUUGCAUAAUUUCAGUGUUAAAGUUUGUAAUGUGAACUUAAAAGUAAUGACCAAUGGUGCUAUUCACUUGUGUGCUGUUGGCGAAUAUUGAAGCGUUAAAAUAUUGAAGCUUCCUAUGUUACUUUGUUGUGCUUAGUGUGAAGCAAAAAUGUGUGCUAAAGUGUUAUAAAUUAGAAAAAUGUAUACGUAUCCGUCUAAUGUUUGGUUGUACCUAUCUAAUUUUCCAUAUUUUCGGGUGUCCUUAUCGUUUACCAGGAGAAAACGAUAGAUGGAGGUUAGAUACGUGCAGCUAUUUGCCUCCGCAGGAAGUGUUCUUCAGAAGUGUUCCAAGCUGUCCGAAGACACACAAAUCCGCAAUCCACAAUCCAAGCACACAAAUCCGAUUCACCUCGUAUGCACCCAGCGGAUUUCAUGCAAAGGAUAUUGGAAAGCCAUCAAAGAAGUGGGCAUGAUGGAAAGGACACUUUGAUUCUUUUUACUUUCAGAUUUCUUAUCCUUAUUUUUGUUUACACCAACCUUGGAUCGUCGGCGCGGGCCUUAUGGGAACUGCGCGGUUAGAGCAACAACCGGAUGAGCAUUUUGUUGCAGGCGGAAAUUGUCUGAAGUUUGGGAAUUGAAGAGAGUUACAGCACACUGUGAACAUCGUUGUAAACAAUUGAUGGUAACAUUUAUAUAUAUAGCUUAUGAAUGCAUGUGUUUAUCUAAUUAUUCAUUAAUUCGUUUAUUUAUUAAUUUAAGCGUUAGCGCUCCAUCGACAUAUGUUUUUUGUUGUUCUUUUUAGAAAAUUGCUCUAACGGAACAGCUUAUCCCGGCCUUUCUCGGGUUUAGUUGCUGUUGCUUGACCGCGACGAUUGACACCAGAGCUUGCUAUGGUCGUAUUGUCGUCGUGUAAUCGUGUUAUUGCUGUUAACGCGCUUUGUUUAUAUCUAUUAAGAUGCAACAGCAUUAUUUAUUUUCCGGAAUAUGGUUAGCGUUGUUCCUCCUAAUAAGACGGAAUACGUUUGAAAUUAGCACCUGUGUCAAUCGUCCAACGGUUGGCAAUAAAGUACAAUAAAUGAUAGGAGCAAAAACGCGAUGGCUGUUAGUGAUUUGCGAAAUGAAACCAACAGCCAUUUUACAUUUUUUAUCUUAAACAAGUCCUAUCUUAACUCCUGAAAACUACCAAAGCUACAAUUUUUCAUUUCAUUUGUCAUUCAUCAUUCUAUUUAGAAAAGAAUAGAUAAAAGGUGUAAUAUAGUAUCAAUAGGACAUUACAAUUAAUAAAAAUGGAAAAGCAAUGUGUUUAUCAAUAAAUAAUAUGUAAUAUAUAUACAGCAACUAUAAAUAGGUAGAGCAAUUGAACUAAAUAAAUUUAUUUUUAUUUAUUCCUUCUAUGGCAGCUUGUUUUAACAUUUCCCUGCAUGUUUACUCUUGCCGGUGCAUGUGUCAGUUUUCUUUUUAAAUAUUCUUUAUCAUAUUCUAUAUCUACGUCUAUUCCCACGUGGUUUGUAGCGAUAGACUGCACUGUAUUUGGGUAGUUACUAAAAGCUAUUUUUUCCUGACGAUCCUUCCCAGGUACACCGUGCAAGAAAAGUCCCAUCAAACAACACGUCUAAGUCUAGCCUCAUGCAUCCUGUUGUUGGCAUCCUGGCUGCUGAUAUCUGCAUCUAUUAUUUAAGUAUAACUGCCAAAUGCAAAAUCAUCUCCAGCUAUUUUUGCUUCAAAUGCAUCAAACUUUUGUUCAUUUUCGAUUUUUUCUAUUGCUAAACUCUGCGCAUUUCUUCUUAUACCCUUCAUAGGAUUCAGUAUUGUGGACUGCUCAUUUAAAAUCACCAUUAUCUGUGCGCUGCGUGCAUCUAUUUUCAUUAACAGCAUCCGACAACGAAGGCAGCAGCUUCCAGAAUGCUCUGUAGAAGUAAUUGAAAAGACUGCUUGAUUUGCUUCUGCUGCAGUCUGGUGUUCAUCGUCGGUGAUCAUCAUUAUUGGUGACGAAGGCAGCACAGGCAAAUUUAUCACAACAGGACCAGUUGCUCGUCCAGUCGUUAUGUACGUUAUGCGCUUGUCGAUGGCACUUAAUUACCACCAUCAACUAUCUUGCCUGGCGGACGGAUCUGGCUAGGAACACAGGUAAAAAAUUGCUCUGAUAUAGCAGUACUCGUUGAUGGUUUUUGAACAUUAACGCUGAUCAUUUUGGCUGGUGUACGGCUCACAAUAAGAAGAACACAGAAGCACUGGUGGGUAAUUGUUGUCUUACAACAGCGGACAUCAUAUCACGCUGAUUCUUCGGAGCAUGAACUUCGACAAGCGAUGCAAUCGAUGGUACUGCAGAACCCGCCAAUGCCUGUUGUCUACCGAUCUUCAUACCUGAUUCCUGUGGUAGAGCAUCAGCAACCGGUACCACUGAUGGCGCAGCAGUACUAGUUGACGGUUGCUGUCCAUGUUGCUGGCCUAACGGACGGAAUGGUGCAAGAACAUCAGGUAAUGUGGACCGAUGAUGAUUAUGAUCACCGGCAUUCGAGACCAGCGCUGACACUUCAUCCGUUACCUUCUGCUGUUCAUCAACACGGACUGGCAUUCUUUGUUGACUCGCGCUGACCGGCCACUGAAACCACCGAAGGCACUGCACUUGUUGUCGGAAGUUGUCCAACAACACGGACCGGCAAUCUGGGGGGACGUAUAGCACGAGGAAUGGCAACCGGAACCACCGAUGGCACUGCACUUGUCGUCGGAAGUUGUCCAACAACACGGACUGGUACAUCUGACUGACGAAGCUACUUAUCACAUACCCGCGUUUUAUGUCCCCAUUCUUGGUGUUUCCGGGUUACUCGCCAUCGCGCUGUAGUCGGAUCAUACUGCACCUGUCCUGCUUCGAUUAAUGCCUCCCCAAAGACAAAAUUAGAGCACGCGUUCCUAUUCCUCAUCCUCCGGCGCUGUCUGGAGAAUGUGGGAGUCACUGCUCUAUAAAAACCACCGGACUACCACAAACUGGAAACAGCGGAAAACCCCGUGGGUCACCGGCCACCAUGCUAAAUUGAAGCAAAGUUGAACUAAUCUGCCGUGCGAAAUAGCAAAAAAAAUAUUUCAUUUUAAUGUUUUAUUAAGCUAAACUGACAUUAUAUUUUUAAUCUAAAACGUUUUUGAUGUGUUUUUUUCUCAUCGCGUUUAGGCGUCGUGUAUCAGAUUGCAACUGCUAAUAAUUUCGUCGUCUGAGGCGGAAUGUUAUGGAGGUACCAAAUCUUCAGUGAUGAUGAAUGCGUUCACGCUUCUACGAGCCGGUAAUUGGCGGUAUCCAGAUUAUCGUCGUACUGUUAGCUUACCUAAGCUACCGAAAUUAGCGACAGUGUAAAAUGCAAGAGAAAGACAAAUUGACAAUAUAAUUAAAAUUAAUGGUUUACAUGGAUUGCGCUCCACUAACAAUAUUUUUCUCUUAUAUUGUCUAUUUCAGCUGUGCUGUAAGAAUUACGAAUGGUCGUGGUAGACGCAUUAGGAUUGCAAGGCGAUAAUUGCGCUCUGAAAAUGCUAGCACAGAUGUUUGGGCCACAGAGGUGACGUUCCGAGAUUGUAAAAACAUGCCGGGCCCACAGUUUCAGAUAAGCCGUUCUCAUCAUAGCCGUACCAUGUACGGUCGGCUAGUUACACUUCAUCACGAAGGACAAUCACAUCUAGAUGACGGAAUGCUGUCAAAACGAUGAAGCUGGCUUAGUCCUCGAUGACGACGCAACUCCUGUACGUUCGUCGUCAUACUAUCAUUUUAACUGGAAGCAUGUUUGUUUAGGCGGCUACAACAAAUUGUUUGAACAUGUUCAAUGAAACAAACAUGUUGUUUUGGCUUCUCACAAUUAUUGAUGAAUGCUGGAAAUCUCCGUGAUAGCCGUUUUCUUGCGCUGAAUUAGGUUUGUAUGAAAAAUAGUGUAUUUUUAGAAUAUUUAAUUAUCAAUAAAAUAACGGUCAAUUUGAAAA
Anopheles gambiae (African malaria mosquito) is the source of this 4334-nucleotide long non-coding RNA. RefSeq lists it as uncharacterized. Lineage: Eukaryota; Metazoa; Arthropoda; Insecta; Diptera; Culicidae. The record is from RefSeq and is a predicted model, not a curated record. The transcript is spliced from 6 exons.